AUUGAACGCUGGCGGCAGGCCUAACACAUGCAAGUCGAGCGAGCGGCGGAAGGGUGAGUAAUGUAUGGGGAUCUGCCCGCUAGAGGGGGAUAACUACUGGAAACGGUAGCUAAUACCGCAUAGUCUCGGAUGAACAAAUAUGGGAUUAGCUAGUGGGGGGGGAAAAGGCUCACCAAGGCACCGAGCCGUCGCUGGUUUGAGAGGACGACCAGCCACACGGGGACUGAGACACGGCCCAGACUCCUACGGGAGGCAGCAGUGGGGAAUUUCGGACAAUGGGGGAAACCCUGAUCCAGCCAUCCCGCGUGUAUGAUGAAGGCCUUCGGGUUGUAAAGUACGUUUGGCAGAGAAGCGGUAUCUGAAGAAUAAGCACCGGCUAACUACGUGCCAGCAGCCGCGGUAAUAC
This 406-nucleotide ribosomal RNA is filed under the name uncultured bacterium. RNAcentral describes it as "partial 16S ribosomal RNA". It matches the Rfam family "Bacterial small subunit ribosomal RNA", at positions 29 to 526 of the family's 1533-position model. The record is from RNAcentral.